UGCAAACCUUUGAAGUGGAGAUCAAGCUGAUGGUGCACGCACAGAGAGCCGGCGUUGCUGAGAGUCCGGCCGAACGCAAGUCAGUAAAUGGACCACUGAGGGUUCCCCCGAAAGCACCGCAAGUACGGGGAAACGUGUUGGCAUACGUCAGUUGUCGCCGGGGUGUUGGCCCCGGGCUAAGCGUGAUCAGAAACUGCCAAAUGACACAAUACCUAGGCGCAGUCUCAUGAUCAAACUAAGGUGGCACCGCGGGAAACCGUCCUUAAC
Molecule: non-coding RNA, 267 nt
Filed under: Lacticaseibacillus rhamnosus
Lineage: Bacteria; Bacillati; Bacillota; Bacilli; Lactobacillales; Lactobacillaceae
Source: RNAcentral